CGUAGGUGGCAAGCGUUGUCCGGAUUUAGUUGGGUUUAAAGGGUGCGUAGGCGGUUCCAUAAGUCAGUGGUGAAAUACAAUAGCUUAACUAUUGAGGUGCCAUUGAUACUGCGGAACUUGAGUACAGACGAGGUAGGCGGAAUUGACGGUGUAGCGGUGAAAUGCUUAGAUAUCGUCAAGAACACCGAUAGCGAAGGCAGCUUACUAGACUGUAACUGACGCUGAGGCACGAAAGUGUGGGGAUCAAACAGGAUUAGAUACCCUGGUAGUCCACACUGUAAACGAUGAUUACUCGAUGUUGGCGAUACACAGCCAGCGUCUUAGCAAAAGCGAUAAGUAAUCCACCUGGGGAGUACGCCGGCAACGGUG
This 369-nucleotide ribosomal RNA is filed under the name uncultured organism. Its description in RNAcentral is "bacterial SSU rRNA". It matches the Rfam family "Bacterial small subunit ribosomal RNA", at positions 526 to 896 of the family's 1533-position model. The record is from RNAcentral.